UUGCUGAUCUGCGAUUACUAGCGACUCCGACUUCAUGGGGUCGAGUUGCAGACCCCAAUCCGAACUGAGACCGGCUUUUUGGGAUUAGCUCCACCUCACAGUAUCGCAACCCAUUGUACCGGCCAUUGUAGCAUGCGUGAAGCCCAAGACAUAAGGGGCAUGAUGAUUUGACGUCGUCCUCACCUUCCUCCGAGUUGACCCCGGCAGUCUCCCAUGAGUCCCCACCACUACGUGCUGGCAACAUGGAACGAGGGUUGCGCUCGUUGCGGGACUUAACCCAACAUCUCACGACACGAGCUGACGACAACCAUGCACCACCUGUGAACCCGCCCCAAAGGGGAAACCGUAUCUCUACGGCGAUCGAGAACAUGUCAAGCCUUGGUAAGGUUCUUCGCGUUGCAUCGAAUUAAUCCGCAUGCUCCGCCGCUUGUGCGGGCCCCCGUCAAUUCCUUUGAGUUUUAGCCUUGCGGCCGUACUCCCCAGGCGGGGCACUUAAUGCGUUAGCUGCGGCGCGGAAACCGUGGAAUGGUCCCCACACCUAGUGCCCAACGUUUACGGCAUGGACUACCAGGGUAUCUAAUCCUGUUCGCUCCCCAUGCUUUCGCUCCUCAGCGUCAGUUACAGCCCAGAGACCUGCCUUCGCCAUCGGUGUUCCUCCUGAUAUCUGCGCAUUCCACCGCUACACCAGGAAUUCCAGUCUCCCCUACUGCACUCUAGUCUACCCGUACCCACCGCAGAUCCGGGGUUAAGCCCCGGACUUUCACGACAGACGCGACAAACCGCCUACGAGCUCUUUACGCCCAAUAAUUCCGGAUAACGCUCGCACCCUACGUAUUACCGCGGCUGCUGGCACGUAGUUAGCCGGUGCUUCUUCUGCAGGUACCGUCACUUUCGCUUCUUCCCUACUGAAAGAGGUUUACAACCCGAAGGCCGUCAUCCCUCACGCGGCGUCGCUGCAUCAGGCUUGCGCCCAUUGUGCAAUAUUCCCCACUGCUGCCUCCCGUAGGAGUCUGGGCCGUGUCUCAGUCCCAGUGUGGCCGGUCACCCUCUCAGGCCGGCUACCCGUCGUCGCCUUGGUGAGCCAUUACCUCACCAACAAGCUGAUAGGCCGCGAGUCCAUCCAAAACCGAUAAAUCUUUCCAACACCCACCAUGCGGUGGGCGCUCCUAUCCGGUAUUAGACCCAGUUU
Molecule: ribosomal RNA, 1189 nt
Filed under: Micrococcus luteus
Lineage: Bacteria; Bacillati; Actinomycetota; Actinomycetes; Micrococcales; Micrococcaceae
Description: partial 16S ribosomal RNA
Source: RNAcentral